CCGCCUGGGGAGUACGGCCGCAAGGUUAAAACUCAAAUGAAUUGACGGGGGCCCGCACAAGCGGUGGAGCAUGUGGUUUAAUUCGAUGCAACGCGAAGAACCUUACCUGGUCUUGACAUCCACAGAAGAAUCCAGAGAUGGAUUUGUGCCUUCGGGAACUGUGAGACAGGUGCUGCAUGGCUGUCGUCAGCUCGUGUUGUGAAAUGUUGGGUUAAGUCCCGCAACGAGCGCAACCCUUAUCCUUUGUUGCCAGCGAUUAGGUCGGGAACUC
This 271-nucleotide ribosomal RNA is filed under the name Salmonella enterica subsp. enterica serovar Muenchen. RNAcentral describes it as "partial 16S ribosomal RNA". It matches the Rfam family "Bacterial small subunit ribosomal RNA", at positions 869 to 1140 of the family's 1533-position model. Lineage: Bacteria; Pseudomonadati; Pseudomonadota; Gammaproteobacteria; Enterobacterales; Enterobacteriaceae. The record is from RNAcentral.